AUGAACGCUGGCGGCGUGCCUAAUACAUGCAAGUCGAGCGAACGGACGAGAAGCUUGCUUCUCUGAUGUUAGCGGCGGACGGGUGAGUAACACGUGGAUAACCUACCUAUAAGACUGGGAUAACUUCGGGAAACCGGAGCUAAUACCGGAUAAUAUUUUGAACCGCAUGGUUCAAAAGUGAAAGACGGUCUUGCUGUCACUUAUAGAUGGAUCCGCGCUGCAUUAGCUAGUUGGUAAGGUAACGGCUUACCAAGGCAACGAUGCAUAGCCGACCUGAGAGGGUGAUCGGCCACACUGGAACUGAGACACGGUCCAGACUCCUACGGGAGGCAGCAGUAGGGAAUCUUCCGCAAUGGGCGAAAGCCUGACGGAGCAACGCCGCGUGAGUGAUGAAGGUCUUCGGAUCGUAAAACUCUGUUAUUAGGGAAGAACAUAUGUGUAAGUAACUGUGCACAUCUUGGCGGUACCUAAUCAGAAAGCCACGGCUAACUACGUG
RNAcentral lists this ribosomal RNA (496 nucleotides) under uncultured bacterium. Its description in RNAcentral is "partial 16S ribosomal RNA". It matches the Rfam family "Bacterial small subunit ribosomal RNA", at positions 29 to 507 of the family's 1533-position model. The record is from RNAcentral.